UUCAUGUCUCCAGCAAUAUUGACCAGUAUGUAUAGAGAUCUGAGUUAUGUCAUGUUGGCGACUGCGUUACUCUCUUCCCUGUGUGGAUCAUAGUCAAGAGUGAUGUAAAGUUUCUCAGAGGUGGACCACACGCGGAUUGCAGACAUGACUGGAGAAAGUCAUUUUGAUUACAGGAGAGAAGUAUUUCAUUAAAGAGAUGAUUGAACCCAAGAUGGCUUAAUGUUGGAUCUGUUUACUUUGAAGACUGAUAGAUUUUGAAGAUUAAUGCAAUCAAAGGUGUAAUUAAUACAUAUCGAAGUGGAAAUGUGACCGACGCAGUAGUAAAACAGAAUUUCACCUCGUCCCUUGCAAAAUUGUCACAAUUCUGUCUGUGAAUCCACC
RNAcentral lists this long non-coding RNA (381 nucleotides) under Eucalyptus grandis. RNAcentral's name for it is "long non-coding RNA (EGRA_LNC003740)". The record is from RNAcentral. Lineage: Eukaryota; Viridiplantae; Streptophyta; Magnoliopsida; Myrtales; Myrtaceae.